This 245-nucleotide unclassified non-coding RNA is filed under the name plant metagenome. RNAcentral's name for it is "partial contains small subunit ribosomal RNA, internal transcribed spacer 1, and 5.8S ribosomal RNA". The record is from RNAcentral.
UCUCCGUUGGUGAACCAGCGGAGGGAUCACUACCGAGUUUACAACUCCCAAACCCAAUGUGAACGUUACCAAACUGUUGCCUCGGCGGGGUCACGCCCCGGGUGCGUCGCAGCCCCGGAACCAGGCGCCCGCCGGAGGAACCAACCAAACUCUUUCUGUAGUCCCCUCGCGGACGUUAUUUCUUACAGCUCUGAGCAAAAAUUCAAAAUGAAUCAAAACUUUCAACAACGGAUCUCUUGGUUCUC